RNAcentral lists this ribosomal RNA (1387 nucleotides) under uncultured bacterium. Its description in RNAcentral is "bacterial SSU rRNA". It matches the Rfam family "Bacterial small subunit ribosomal RNA". The record is from RNAcentral.
AGAGUUUGAUCCUGGCUCAGGAUGAACGCUGGCGGCGUGCUUAACACAUGCAAGUCGAACGAAGCGCUUAAAUGGAUUUCUUCGGAUUGAAGUUUUUGUGACUGAGUGGCGGACGGGUGAGUAACGCGUGGGUAACCUGCCUCAUACAGGGGGAUAACAGUUAGAAAUGACUGCUAAUACCGCAUAAGCGCACAGUGCUGCAUGGCACAGUGUGAAAAACUCCAGUGGUAUGAGAUGGACCCGCGUCUGAUUAGCUAGUUGGUGGGGUAACGGCCUACCAAGGCGACGAUCAGUAGCCGGCCUGAGAGGGUGAACGGCCACAUUGGGACUGAGACACGGCCCAAACUCCUACGGGAGGCAGCAGUGGGGAAUAUUGCACAAUGGGGGAAACCCUGAUGCAGCGACGCCGCGUGAGCGAAGAAGUAUUUCGGUAUGUAAACUUCUAUCAGCAGGGAAGAUAGUGACGGUACCUGACUAAGAAGCCCCGGCUAACUACGUGCCAGCAGCCGCGGUAAUACGUAGGGGGCAAGCGCUAUCCGGAUUUACUGGGUGUAAAGGGAGCGUAGACGGUGUGGCAAGUCUGAUGUGAAAGGCAUGGGCUCAACCUGUGGACCGCAUUGGAAACUGUCAUACUUGAGUGCCGGAGGGGUAAGCGGAAUUCCUAGUGUAGCGGUGAAAUGCGUAGAUAUUAGGAGGAACACCAGUGGCGAAGGCGGCUUACUGGACGGUAACUGACGUUGAGGCUCGAAAGCGUGGGGAGCAAACAGGAUUAGAUACCCUGGUAGUCCACGCUGUAAACGAUGGAUACUAGGUGUGGGGGGUCUGACCCCCUCCGUGCCGCAGUUAACACAAUAAGUAUCCCACCUGGGGAGUACGAUCGCAAGGUUGAAACUCAAAGGAAUUGACGGGGGCCCGCACAAGCGGUGGAGUAUGUGGUUUAAUUCGAAGCAACGCGAAGAACCUUACCAGGGCUUGACAUCCCGAGGUCCGGUCUAGAGAUAGACCUUUCUCUUCGGAGACCUCGGUGACAGGUGGUGCAUGGUUGUCGUCAGCUCGUGUCGUGAGAUGUUGGGUUAAGUCCCGCAACGAGCGCAACCCUUAUGGUCAGUUACUACGUAAGAGGACUCUGGCCAGACUGCCGUUGACAAAACGGAGGAAGGUGGGGAUGACGUCAAAUCAUCAUGCCCUUUAUGACUUGGGCUACACACGUACUACAAUGGCGUUAAACAAAGAGAAGCAAGACCGCGAGGUGGAGCAAAACUCAGAAACAACGUCCCAGUUCGGACUGCAGGCUGCAACUCGCCUGCACGAAGUCGGAAUUGCUAGUAAUCGUGGAUCAGCAUGCCACGGUGAAUACGUUCCCGGGCCUUGCACACACCGCCCGUCA